UACAGGGGGGGCAAGCGUUGUUCGGAAUUACUGGGCGUAAAGGGUUCGUAGGUGGCCACUUAAGUCAGACGUGAAAUCCCUCAGCUUAACUGGGGAACUGCGUCUGAUACUGCGUGGCUUGAGUGCAGGAGAGGAAUGCGGAAUUCCAGGUGUAGCGGUGAAAUUCGUAGAUAUUGGCUGGAACACCGGUGGCGAAAGCGGCUCUCUGGCCCGGUUCUGACGCUGAGGCGCGAAAGCGUGGGGAGCAAACAGG
This 253-nucleotide ribosomal RNA is filed under the name uncultured bacterium. RNAcentral's name for it is "partial 16S ribosomal RNA". It matches the Rfam family "Bacterial small subunit ribosomal RNA", at positions 524 to 776 of the family's 1533-position model. The record is from RNAcentral.